UUUUUGUGAUGCUUCUGUUUCAGAAUGGUAGUAUUAUGGAAGGCCUGGCAUUGUGGAAGAACAAUGUAGACAAGCGCUUUGAGGGGGUUGAAGACUGCAUGAUCUGUUACUCUGUUAUUCAUGGUUCCAAUUAUUCUCUUCCGAAAAAGGCAUGCAGGACAUGCAAGAAAAAAUUCCAUUCAGCAUGUCUGUACAAGUGGUUUACCUCCAGCAACAAAUCAACUUGCCCACUCUGUCGUGAAACCUUCUUCUGAUAAAAUUAAGCCUAACAGCUCAAACUGUUCUUGUAUAAUUGUAAAUACUAUAUCUACCCAGUGGUGAUAAAAUAAAAAAUAAAUAAUGAUUGUUAUUAAAAGAACUAAGAUGCUAAAUCAAUGUUCCUAAAUGUAAUUUUAAUGCUGGAUGAUUUGGGAAUAGAAAUAAUCACACUUGCCAAAUAUUUAUGACAUUUAAGGUUUUAAUGUAGACAUGUCCUGUAUGCAGGGUUUUACAUUACAAUAGAAAUGCAUCUGUUACUCUCGGCAUUCUGUUUUCAAUAAAAUACUUGUUUAAAUA
This is a long non-coding RNA of Acipenser ruthenus (sterlet), 555 nucleotides long. RefSeq lists it as uncharacterized. NCBI's taxonomy places the organism in Eukaryota, Metazoa, Chordata, Actinopteri, Acipenseriformes, Acipenseridae. The transcript is spliced from 2 exons. The record is from RefSeq and is a predicted model, not a curated record.